RNAcentral lists this ribosomal RNA (253 nucleotides) under uncultured bacterium. RNAcentral describes it as "partial 16S ribosomal RNA". It matches the Rfam family "Bacterial small subunit ribosomal RNA", at positions 524 to 776 of the family's 1533-position model. The record is from RNAcentral.
UACGGAGGGCGCAAGCGUUGCUCGGAAUCAUUGGGCGUAAAGCGGGUGUAGGCGGUGAAAAAAGUCAAAUGUGAAAUCCCGGGGCUCAACCCCGGAACUGCAUUCGAUACUGCUUCACUGGAGUCACGGAGAGGAAGGCGGAAUUCCCGGUGUAGAGGUGAAAUUCGUAGAUAUCGGGAGGAACACAAGUGGCGAAGGCGGCCUUCUGGACGAUGACUGACGCUCAGACCCGAAAGCGUGGGUAGCAAACAGG